CCUACGGGAGGCAGCAGUGAGGAAUAUUGGUCAAUGGGCGCGAGCCUGAACCAGCCAAGUAGCGUGAAGGAUGACUGCCCUACGGGUUGUAAAUUUCUUUUAUAAAGGAAUAAAGUGAGGCACGUGUGCCUUUUUGUACGUACUUUAUGAAUAAGGAUCGGCUAACUCUGCGCCAGCAGCCGCGGUAAUACGGAGGAUCCGAGCGUUAUCCGGAUUUAUUGGGUUUAAAGGGAGCGUAGAUGGGUUGUUAAGUCAGUUGUGAAAGUUUGCGGCUCAACCGUAAAAUUGCAAUUGAUACUGGCAGCCUAGAGUACAGUUGAGGUAGGCGGAAUUCGUGGUGUAGCGGUGAAAUGCUUAGAUAUCACGAAGAACUCCGAUUGCGAAGGCAGCCUACUAGACUGCCACUGACAUUGAUGCUCGAAAGUGUGGGUAUCAAACAGGAUUAGAUACCCUUGUAGUC
This 460-nucleotide ribosomal RNA is filed under the name uncultured bacterium. Its description in RNAcentral is "partial 16S ribosomal RNA". It matches the Rfam family "Bacterial small subunit ribosomal RNA", at positions 338 to 795 of the family's 1533-position model. The record is from RNAcentral.